Molecule: ribosomal RNA, 253 nt
Filed under: uncultured bacterium
Lineage: Bacteria
Description: partial 16S ribosomal RNA
Rfam family: Bacterial small subunit ribosomal RNA
Source: RNAcentral
UACGGGGGGAGCAAGCGUUGUUCGGAAUUACUGGGCGUAAAGGGCGCGUAGGCGGUCAGGUAAGUGAGAUGUGAAAUCCUCCGGCUCACCCGGAGAAAUGCAUCUCAUACUGCUUGACUAGAGUUCGGGAGAGGAAUCGGGAAUUCCAGGUGUAGCGGUGAAAUGCGUAGAUAUCUGGAGGAACACCGGUGGCGAAGGCGCGAUUCUGGCCCGAUACUGACGCUGAGGCGCGAAAGCCAGGGGAGCAAACGGG